CCCAGCUGUAGGCAACUGCCUAGGUUGCCUUGUACCUAGGCAAGUGUUUCGCUGCAAGGAGAAAAGCAGCCAGUAGCUGGUUGGCGUUUUGGAUCUGGUUGAUGCCAACUUU
RNAcentral lists this small nucleolar RNA (112 nucleotides) under Ochotona princeps (American pika). RNAcentral describes it as "Small nucleolar RNA SNORA74 (ENSOPRG00000023486.1)". Lineage: Eukaryota; Metazoa; Chordata; Mammalia; Lagomorpha; Ochotonidae. The record is from RNAcentral.